CUCCCCUACUUGCUCUGUCUGAAUAAAUAAAUAAAAUUUGAAUGUCAAAGCACUUAAAAAUUUUAAUUUGGAAUCCUUAUUGACUAGGGAUGCGGACUAAGGAAUAUCAGUGGAAAUGGGUCCAACACUUACAGACACCAAGCCACCUACCCUACCCUGCCAGGCCGCGCCCCCGGGAAGGCCAGCGAGCCUCGAGCCUCGGGUGCUUGGGUCCCCGCCGCCUCUUGUUCACCUCGCGUGUCCUCUGUGCUGUGCAUCUCACUUCCUGGAGCCGAGGACGUCUCACGCCGCAUCUGGUGACACUGCCUAUGUCGGUGCCCUGUUGGCAGGGGUCACGGCUUACGUUUGUUUCAUGUCCUCGGCCUCGACCCCCGCACCGCCUCCUUCCAGCCUCCAGAGCGGGUUCAGAAACGGUCCGCGGAUGGCAUUCGGGCCCACGUUGUACGGUGAGCCCGGGGCAGCCAUCCCCAGACAGGGACGGUGACUCGGCCGCCUCCGCCUGCAGCCCGUACAGCAGGCCCACCCUGUGUUGUGUGUCUCCUCUCCUGCCGGGGACCCACGGGGACCGCUGGUCCCCGCGCUCCGGGUCCGGCCUGGUCCCCAGCCGAGUUUAUCCAUCUCGGGGAGCCUGGGCGUGUCUCCCCGGGCUGAGCCCUGCCCACCGCCGUGAGUCCGCUCUUCCUGAACCUUCCAUGCAGGGACUCCAGCUUGCCCUUGUCUGCUUUGCUGUUCUUAAAUGACCUCCGGUGUAUUUCGAACGGAAGGAGAUGGUCAAAUGUCAGUUCGCUGCCCCUACGGUUUUCCUUAAGCAUAGUGUUCGGCCUGAAUCCCCCUGAAUCCCUGCUUCACUUGCUUCUGUGGCUGGUCACCUCUGGCGUGAGGAAGGGGCCACGUGUUCCUCCCGCCGUGGGGGUGCCUGCGACAAGCAGCCUUGGAAUGUUUACUCCCUGGAGUGUCCACUGAGCAGAAUAACGGAGACACGGAGGACGACAGAGGUGGAGAAGACCGAUACGGUUGGAUUUCGUGUUCAUGGCGCCCUCACGUUCGCCCUCCGGGAGAGCCUUCCAGAGGCCUUGGGGGUUCUCCACGCCCCAUCCUACCGGUGAGGUGACUUCCUGUUGACAGCAAGUUACCUGCACACACAGCUGAGAUUCCGGAAUAGUCGCUGUGCCGCGGCUGCGGGAUUAAUUCCCCGCAUUAGUGCCUGGUGGCUGUAAAACUGCUCAUGAAAACGAAGUGGUUGUGAGAAUCGUUUGCACGUCUAGCAGUGGACUCUGGGUAAAGACACCUGCGCCGAGUCUUGCCGUGUUAGAAGACUCCUCCCGCAUUAGAAAAAGGUUUUAAACACUGCUUCCCAUGUUCCCAGAGACUUGCUCACAAGACUAUCAAGGACAUAAAAUAGCAUUCUGUGGGAGACGAGGCCUGGAAGGAGAGUGUCUUUGGAGUGGGAGGGGUCGGUUUGACUUCUGACUCUCGGAACUUGCUAGAGAGGCAGUGUCGGCCAAAUCACUGAGUUUUUUCUGAAUUUGUUUCCCCUUGCGAAUAAAGUGUGUAUUAAUG
Lynx canadensis (Canada lynx) is the source of this 1560-nucleotide long non-coding RNA. RefSeq lists it as uncharacterized. NCBI's taxonomy places the organism in Eukaryota, Metazoa, Chordata, Mammalia, Carnivora, Felidae. The record is from RefSeq and is a predicted model, not a curated record. The transcript is spliced from 2 exons.